This 477-nucleotide ribosomal RNA is filed under the name uncultured anaerobic ammonium-oxidizing bacterium. RNAcentral's name for it is "bacterial SSU rRNA". It matches the Rfam family "Bacterial small subunit ribosomal RNA", at positions 363 to 830 of the family's 1533-position model. The record is from RNAcentral.
UUUUCGCAAUGCCCGAAAGGGUGACGAAGCGACGCCGCGUGGAUGAAGAAGGCCUUCGGGUUGUAAAAUCCUGUCAGGAGUUAAGAAAUGUAGGUGCGAUAAUACCGUGCCUAUUUGACAAAGGCUCCAAAGGAAGCCACGGCUAACUCUGUGCCAGCAGCCGCGGUAAUACAGAGGUGGCAAGCGUUGUUCGGAAUUAUUGGGCGUAAAGAGCACGUAGGUGGAUUUGUUAGUCAGAUGUGAAAGCCUUUCGUUCAACGGAAGAAUUGCAUCUGAAACUACAAACCUUGAGUAUAGGAGGGGAGAGUGGAACUUCUGGUGGAGCGGUGAAAUGCGUAGAUAUCAGAAGGAACGCCGGCGGCGAAAGCGACUCUCUGGCCUAUAACUGACACUGAGUGUGCGAAAGCUAGGGGAGCAAACGGGAUUAGAUACCCCGGUAGUCCUAGCCGUAAACGAUGGGCACUAAGUAGAGGGGUU